CUCUGUCUGACUGGCACAUGGCCCUUUGCAGGCCUCUAACAGCAGCUGAAGGAGGACAGCAGGGGGGUCUGCCUGGACUUCAGUGAUACCAACCUGUUAGGGCUCCAGCUUUGAUGCUCUGAAGCUGCUGUUCCUGUUCUGUCACACAAUCAAACACAUCAGAGAGAAGCUGAGCUUUGAGAUUUGAUUCUUAACAUAUCAUGGUGUAUAAGAAAUCAGUAUCAGGCAAAAAAGAAAAAAAAAUGUGGGGAGGCAAGCAUAAAAGAGAGGAUCAGGAAAGAUAAGUGCAGGUCUUGAUCAAGGUGGCACUCAGCAUGUUCUUCCAGUGUCCACAUUGUCUUUCAGGAGCCAUCAGUUUCAAGACAUCAAUUUGUAUUUGAGGCCUUAGUCCAGCAAAUUGCUAAUGCAGAUUUUCUCCCUUCUGACAGUUAGUCUUAUUGAUGUUGAAAUGUUUUGAAGUUCAUUUUACUGCCUUUUUGUUAAUUUCCUGCUGUAGUUAGUCUAGCUUUUUACAUCAAGAUAUUUCAGCCCUUUCUCAAAGCAUACCCAUUACUGGGGUUUUUUUCAAUUUUUUUCAAAUUCCAGUUUCAUCUUUAAAAAUUAAUGAAUUGAAAUAAAUUUGUGCUGCACUGCUAAUAAAUAUCUCAAAGUCUGAAAGCAGCAUUUGCAUAGUAAAAGUCCCCAGUUUCCCCAGUAACAAAACUAUGAGGUGCAAACAGUAAUUACAGAAUUUUGGCUAUCUUUCUAAGCCACUCUGCAAUAUGACAUAAUUUGAAAAUGAGACUGAAAAAGCAUGUAAAGAAACAGAUAUUUUGUGUGUACAAGCAGCCAUAUUUUUUACAGGUACAGUGCAACAGGCUCAGCAUCACCCACAGGCAUUAGUAAAUCAUGGUAUCAGAAACAUGGAAAAUCUUCAGUUGGUAAAAACUCACAAGCAGGAAAGCCUGAAUCUCAACCUCAUUUCAGUCAGUGCCAGCCAAAGCAGCCACUGUUUGGGAGUGCUGGGGCAGAGCUGAUCCCUGUGCCAGGGCUGCAAUCAUUGGGUGCUGGCAGAGAAAUGUUCCCUUGAAUUGUGACACAGCCAUUUUCAUCUCACAGGAUGAGAUACAGGAGAGACAGACAAUGACCUUGUACUUUAUAUGGAGUGCUUCAUCCUUGUAAUCUCAGAGCACUUUAUAAAUAGAUAGAAGACAUCAAAGAAGGAAAAGAGUGCUC
RNAcentral lists this long non-coding RNA (1215 nucleotides) under Cyanistes caeruleus (blue tit). RNAcentral's name for it is "lncRNA (ENSCCEG00000011013.1)". The record is from RNAcentral. Lineage: Eukaryota; Metazoa; Chordata; Aves; Passeriformes; Paridae.